GAUGAACGCUGGCGGCGUGCCUAAUACAUGCAAGUCGAGCGAACGGACGAGAAGCUUGCUUCUCUGAUGUUAGCGGCGGACGGGUGAGUAACACGUGGAUAACCUACCUAUAAGACUGGGAUAACUUCGGGAAACCGGAGCUACUACCGGAUAAUAUUUUGAACCGCAUGGUUCAAAAGUGAAAGACGGUCUUGCUGUCACUUAUAGAUGGAUCCGCGCUGCAUUAGCUAGUUGGUAAGGUAACGGCUUACCAAGGCAACGAUGCAUAGCCGACCUGAGAGGGUGAUCGGCCACACUGGAACUGAGACACGGUCCAGACUCCUACGGGAGGCAGCAGUAGGGAAUCUUCCGCAAUGGGCGAAAGCCUGACGGAGCAACGCCGCGUGAGUGAUGAAGGUCUUCGGAUCGUAAAACUCUGUUAUUAGGGUAGAACAUAUGUGUAAGUAACUGUGCACAUCUUGACGGUACCUAAUCAGAAAGCCACGGCUAACUACGUG
RNAcentral lists this ribosomal RNA (497 nucleotides) under uncultured bacterium. RNAcentral's name for it is "partial 16S ribosomal RNA". It matches the Rfam family "Bacterial small subunit ribosomal RNA", at positions 28 to 507 of the family's 1533-position model. The record is from RNAcentral.